RNAcentral lists this RNase P RNA (377 nucleotides) under candidate division WOR-1 bacterium RIFOXYA2_FULL_41_14. RNAcentral describes it as "RNase P RNA component class A". It matches the Rfam family "Bacterial RNase P class A". Rfam says of the family: Ribonuclease P (RNase P) is a ubiquitous endoribonuclease, found in archaea, bacteria and eukarya as well as chloroplasts and mitochondria. Its best characterised activity is the generation of mature 5'-ends of tRNAs by cleaving the 5'-leader elements of precursor-tRNAs. The record is from RNAcentral. Lineage: Bacteria; Bacillati. RNAcentral also lists the same sequence under 2 other names.
UGGGCAGGCUGGAUGAUCGUGCUUCGAUUUUAUCGAAGUGAGGAAAGUCCGGACUCCGCAGAGCGGCGUGCCUCAUAACGUGAGGUCAGGAUAAACCCGCCUCCGGCGGGUAAACCUGAAGGAAAGUGGCACAGAAAAUAUACAGCCGAACUAAACCCUAAAGGUUUGGUGGCGAAGGUGAAAACGGGAGGUAAGAGCUCCCGACGGUUUGACCGGUGACGGUCACGUGCUAAACCCCACGCGGAGCAAGACCAAAGAGAGCUAGAGUUGCUCGCUCGUUAUAAAGCUCGAGUAGGUCGCAUUGAGGUAGUCAGCAAUGGCUAUCCCAGAUAGAUGAUCAUCGUAAACAGAAUCCGGCUUACCGGUCUGCCCAAUUC